ACUGGGAUAACUCCGGGAAACCGGAGCUAAUACCGGAUAGUUCCUUGAACCGCAUGGUUCAAGGAUGAAAGACGGUUUCGGCUGUCACUUACAGAUGGACCCGCGGCGCAUUAGCUAGUUGGUGAGGUAACGGCUCACCAAGGCGACGAUGCGUAGCCGACCUGAGAGGGUGAUCGGCCACACUGGGACUGAGACACGGCCCAGACUCCUACGGGAGGCAGCAGUAGGGAAUCUUCCGCAAUGGACGAAAGUCUGACGGAGCAACGCCGCGUGAGUGAUGAAGGUUUUCGGAUCGUAAAGCUCUGUUGUUAGGGAAGAACAAGUGCAAGAGUAACUGCUUGCACCUUGACGGUACCUAACCAGAAAGCCACGGCUAACUACGUGCCAGCAGCCGCGGUAAUACGUAGGUGGCAAGCGUUGUCCGGAAUUAUUGGGCGUAAAGGGCUCGCAGGCGGUUUCUUAAGUCUGAUGUGAAAGCCCCCGGCUCAACCGGGGAGGGUCAUUGGAAACUGGGAAACUUGAGUGCAGAAGAGGAGAGUGGAAUUCCACGUGUAGCGGUGAAAUGCGUAGAGAUGUGGAGGAACACCAGUGGCGAAGGCGACUCUCUGGUCUGUAACUGACGCUGAGGAGCGAAAGCGUGGGGAGCGAACAGGAUUAGAUACCCUGGUAGUCCACGCCGUAAACGAUGAGUGCUAAGUGUUAGGGGGUUUCCGCCCCUUAGUGCUGCAGCUAACGCA
RNAcentral lists this ribosomal RNA (737 nucleotides) under bacterium. RNAcentral describes it as "bacterial SSU rRNA". It matches the Rfam family "Bacterial small subunit ribosomal RNA", at positions 137 to 859 of the family's 1533-position model. The record is from RNAcentral.